AGCGGCGGACGGGUGAGUAACGCGUGGGUAACCUGCCCUGUACACACGGAUAACAUACCGAAAGGUAUGCUAAUACGGGAUAACAUAAGAAAGUCGCAUGGAUUUCUUAUCAAAGCUUUUGCGGUACAGGAUGGACCCGCGUCUGAUUAGCUAGUUGGUAAGGUAACGGCUUACCAAGGCGACGAUUAGUAGCCGACCUGAGAGGGUGAUCGGCCACAUUGGAACUGAGACACGGUCCAAACUCCUACGGGAGGCAGCAGUGGGGAAUAUUGCACAAUGGGCGAAAGCCUGAUGCAGCAACGCCGCGUGAGCGAUGAAGGCCUUCGGGUCGUAAAGCUCUGUCCUCAAGGAAGAUAAUGACGGUACUUGAGGAGGAAGCCCCGGCUAACUACGUGCCAGCAGCCGCGGUAAUACGUAGGGGGCUAGCGUUAUCCGGAAUUACUGGGCGUAAAGGGUGCGUAGGCGGUCUUUCAAGUCAGAAGUGAAAGGCUACGGCUCAACCGUAGUAAGCUUUUGAAACUGUAAGACUUGAGUGCAGGAGAGGAGAGUGGAAUUCCUAGUGUAGCGGUGAAAUGCGCUAGAUAUUAGGAGGAACACCAGUUGCGAAGGCGGCUCUCUGGACUGUAA
RNAcentral lists this ribosomal RNA (627 nucleotides) under uncultured Clostridium sp. RNAcentral's name for it is "bacterial SSU rRNA". It matches the Rfam family "Bacterial small subunit ribosomal RNA", at positions 94 to 739 of the family's 1533-position model. The record is from RNAcentral. Lineage: Bacteria; Bacillati; Bacillota; Clostridia; Eubacteriales; Clostridiaceae.